UUCGAUCUCAAACAGAAUCGCUGGAUCUUGAAAUCUUUCUUAGUGAGCCAUAUUCGAUAAAAGCAAAGAGCCAUGAGAACCAAGUGAGAAAUAACCACCACCAGAGUGUCUGUGGCACAAGGUGUAUAGGCGCCAAAGGCAUUUUCCACUGCCCUUGUCCAGAGUCCAUUAGCCACUGGCCGGCAAUACCAAACCAAAGGCUCAAAGGCCAUCUUUUUAUCACUUUCCGACCACUAUUC
Molecule: unclassified non-coding RNA, 239 nt
Filed under: Hevea brasiliensis (rubber tree)
Lineage: Eukaryota; Viridiplantae; Streptophyta; Magnoliopsida; Malpighiales; Euphorbiaceae
Source: RNAcentral